RNAcentral lists this transfer RNA (73 nucleotides) under Antricoccus suffuscus. It matches the Rfam family "tRNA". From Rfam's summary of the family: Transfer RNA (tRNA) molecules are approximately 80 nucleotides in length. Their secondary structure includes four short double-helical elements and three loops (D, anti-codon, and T loops). Further hydrogen bonds mediate the characteristic L-shaped molecular structure. tRNAs have two regions of fundamental functional importance: the anti-codon, which is responsible for specific mRNA codon recognition, and the 3' end, to which the tRNAs corresponding amino acid is attached (by aminoacyl-tRNA synthetases). tRNAs cope with the degeneracy of the genetic code in two manners: having more than one tRNA (with a specific anti-codon) for a particular amino acid; and 'wobble' base-pairing, i.e. permitting non-standard base-pairing at the 3rd anti-codon position. Lineage: Bacteria; Bacillati; Actinomycetota; Actinomycetes; Geodermatophilales; Antricoccaceae. The record is from Rfam by way of RNAcentral.
GCCGACCUGGCGCAAUUGGCAGCGCAUCUGUCUUGUAAACAGAGGGUUGCGGGUUCGAGUCCCGCGGUCGGCU